CAGUAGCCGCGGUAAUACGUAGGGUGCGAGCGUUAAUCGGAAUUACUGGGCGUAAAGCGGGCGCAGACGGUUACUUAAGCAGGAUGUGAAAUCCCCGGGCUCAACCUGGGAACUGCGUUCUGAACUGGGUGACUAGAGUGUGUCAGAGGGAGGUAGAAUUCCACGUGUAGCAGUGAAAUGCGUAGAGAUGUGGAGGAAUACCGAUGGCGAAGGCAGCCUCCUGGGAUAACACUGACGUUCAUGCCCGAAAGCGUGGGUAGCAGACAGGAUUAGAUACCCCCGUAGUCCCUGUCUCUUAUAC
This 301-nucleotide ribosomal RNA is filed under the name uncultured bacterium. Its description in RNAcentral is "partial 16S ribosomal RNA". It matches the Rfam family "Bacterial small subunit ribosomal RNA", at positions 509 to 807 of the family's 1533-position model. The record is from RNAcentral.